Molecule: long non-coding RNA, 2260 nt
Organism: Gasterosteus aculeatus aculeatus (three-spined stickleback)
Lineage: Eukaryota; Metazoa; Chordata; Actinopteri; Perciformes; Gasterosteidae
Source: Ensembl
GUCACAGACUUCAUUUCAGUCCGGUGAUCGAAAGCCCUCCUCAACUGCCAUGCCAACCCACAUUUUCACAGCCACCAAAUAUUAUCCCCACCGCGGCGCAUCGGUGCAGCGACGCGGCCAUGCUGUGCGAGAGCACCGCUCCGCGCGCGCCCCGCGGACUGCACGCAUUGAUGACUUUGAAGAAUCAGCAUCAAAUCAGAUUGGAAUUCACCGGGAUCUCAAACUGGACCUGUUGCUAGAUGAGUCAUGUCGUUGGCCCGGUGACAAUGAGGAGCCAUCGAAUGGGACAAUAUAUCAAAUGCAAAUGUCAAUGUUUUUUGUUGUCCUUCAUAUGUAUUUUUUCCCUUAGAAGCAAAUCAUGAACGGCUUAUUUUGAACCUGUGCCUAUUUUAUUCCAAAUGAAGUCUCAAACCUUCUCCUGCGGGAGAAAAGAAGUAUACUGUAUAAUUAACAUGUGUGUAAUAGGACUUAAAGGUCAUUGCAGAGCUGAGAAGUCAUAUUCUCCCCCCCCACACACACACACACACAUCUUGUUCAGAGCAGCUCUCUCCUCAGAAAGCUGGGGGUCACAGUGUGGAAAAGCCCCCAGUGAACUGGUAGAAAUGCUGUCCCCAUUACAGCAGCAGCAGGGGUCAGGCCAUGGCAGCAAGCAUCCAACCUGCCCAAAAUUGGCUGCAAAAUGACCAAUUACCUGAGCGAAGGCUGAGAUAGGACUUGGAAAAAUAUGGCUUUUACUUAAUUCAGCAACUGUAAAAGAAGUCACAUUGACGCUUGCUACGUGUCACAGUAUCCCCAGCUGUCAAGUACACGGGCAUAUUGUAAACUGAUCAGAAAAUCUGUUUCAAGGAUAAUCAAAAUUCAAUCAACUUUCUAAUGUGAGAGCUGGAUGGCAGGACUAUAAUCCAUAGCUGUAAACUGGGAUAUUCAUUUUCACCAACACUAAAUCAACGAUUGAUUAAACAUCUUUACGUGUAGGUGUUAUUUAAUUAAUUUCCCAGCAAAUGGAAAACAUGCAAAUUCGCCAAUUAAGUCAUUUGCCCAUGGAGGGCUGGACUGCUUGACGUUCAGCUGCCACUGCGCCUUUAGUCUGAAACCCCUUUUUAGUUUUUUGUUAAGAGUUAAGUCUCCAACAAAGACGGGAAGGAGGUCAGCACUCAGCCAACACCUGAAUGCGCCUCUCUUUUUUUGUGCUCCCCUUGAUCCCCACAGUCUGUGCCUGUCAUUAGUCUUAAUGAUGGAAAAUUGUCAUGUUGAUACAAGUCCUGCUCUCCCCCUCUCUUCUUUGUAUAAGUAGAAGGUGGAAGCUCCAUCCGUAACAAAACCGUGGACACUGCAUUUGUGCCGCGGGGGGAGAAAAAAAAGGGCUGUAGAUGCUCUUUCCAUAGCUGGGAUAAUUAUUCCUACUGUGACCUUAAUGAUUCUCUCUGUUCAUCCUGCAUCUCAUCCACGCGCCGGGCCCUCAGCAGAGCCCUGUGUCAGGGAAUAUGAAAAACCCAUAUAAUGAAACCAUUUUGGCUGAUGGAAAAAAGGGUUACUGAAGCUGCACUUGCCACAAAGACGGCUCAAUUAUAUGAGUAAUUGUGAUAAUUUUCCCUCCAUUCAGUGCUUUCUGUGAAAGGUAAAAAACACAGAUGCUGAAAGGGAAAUUACUUGGACAAUAUAUAAUCUGUGAAAUGGUCACAACAGAAAAAAAAGAUGACUGCAAGAAAGUGUAGGACUAUAAAUAGGUAUGUUAAUGCAGGGCACAUAAACACACCCUCUGAUGCUCAAAGCCCCUGUGCAAGAGUAGAAAAAAAAACAUGCAACAAAUGACCAUUGAAAAAAGGCGGAUAAAAGUAGAUAUGCAGCUGCCAGAAAAUUAAACCUCCUUCUCCUUCCAAUUGACAAAUUUACGCUCCUGAAAAUGCACCCCCAUAGUUGGCUAUCAUUUGUUGUUCUCUGACAGGAAAAGGAUAAUUACCUCUCUCAGAGGCAGGAGGACUGACAUGCCCUUUAGACUUUGCCAUGAAUGCAGAAGCUUGAUGGAAAGCUCAAGGAAUAAUUUUCUUCUUUGCCUUUUUCUUUAUGUUGAAGAGCAUGUUUUGUUCAGGAGAACUUUGAGAUGGCAGUAUUGUGGAGAGCAUUAAACCAUGGGUGUUCAUACGGUAAAUAUGACAUCUCUCUGUGCGCCGUGUCUAUCAGCUUCUCCAUUUGGGGAGAAAAAAAACCUCUCAAAUGCAUUAAAAUUUCAAUUUCAACUCGCCAGGAGACAGUCGAAAUG